This 604-nucleotide ribosomal RNA is filed under the name Gatesona chaetophora lablacherensis. RNAcentral's name for it is "Allolobophora chaetophora lablacherensis partial large subunit ribosomal RNA". The stretch from base 1 to 521 matches the Rfam family "Bacterial large subunit ribosomal RNA", at positions 1858 to 2925 of the family's 2925-position model. The record is from RNAcentral. Lineage: Eukaryota; Metazoa; Annelida; Clitellata; Crassiclitellata; Lumbricidae.
CCUGCCCAGUGACUCUGUUCAACGGCCGCGGUAUCCUAACCGUGCAAAGGUAGCAUAAUCAUUUGCCUAUUAAUUGUAGGCUAGUAUGAAAGGACCAACGAAAUAAAAGCUGUCUCUAUAAGUUUUAUAAAAAUUAAUCUCUAACCGAAGAACGUUAGAUAUAUUCGAAGGACAAGAAGACCCUAUAGAGCUUUAUUUAAACACUGAUAUUAUACUUUGCUAAAAUUCGGUUGGGGCGACCAGGGAUAAAUACAUCAUCCCGAUACAAAAGAUAAAUUAAUCUCGCCAAAGACCCUUAAAAAAGAUCAUAAAAAUAAGCUACCUUAGGGAUAACAGGCUAAUCCCACUAAAGAGUCCUUAUCAAUAGUGGGGUUUGGCACCUCGAUGUUGGCUUAGGGAAACUAUGUGGCGCAAAAGUCACAUAAAGAUGGUUUGUUCAACCAAUAACUCCCUACAUGAGCUGAGUUCAGACCGGCGUAAGCCAGGUUAGUUUCUAUCCUCGACCUAUAAAUCCUAUUCAUAGUACGAAAGGACCUGAAUAUGGGUAACAUUUACACUUAAAGAAUAAAUAUAAUAAAUAUUAAAUUUAAUCAUUCAUACACUA